RNAcentral lists this long non-coding RNA (1253 nucleotides) under Anser brachyrhynchus (Pink-footed goose). RNAcentral's name for it is "lncRNA (ENSABRG00000013356.1)". Lineage: Eukaryota; Metazoa; Chordata; Aves; Anseriformes; Anatidae. The record is from RNAcentral.
CAAUGUAGUAAUUCAUUUCCUGCACGCUAUUGCUUUUCAUCCUAGCUGUUUAUUUUUUUCUCCCAAUAAGUAGUUAAAAUACUAGUGUAUUAGUGUAAAGGAAUAAAAAGGACUAAAACCUUAAAAAUAUUACAAUUAUUCAAGCAUAAAAAGACUAGCCACAGCUGGGUGAUAUUGCUGUCCCAGAGAACAGCUUAGUCAAUGAACUGAAAUGAAAUGCUUCCCCCCCAGGUGCUUUAGAAGAUGUCACAAUCUCUUCAACAUGAUGAAGCUAACAGGCUUACAGAGAUCAGGGUAAAAGCCAGUUAACGGGGUUAAAAGGUUCAGAAGGCAGAUGCCAUAUUCUCAGCGGUUUCUUUACAGCCACGCAACCCAUUUCUUCAGGAUGAAUAGCUGAACACUCAGCAUGAACAAGCAGCAGAGACUUUUCCCACGUAUCUCUCGUUUCUUCUUUGGUAUUUGGCACCAUUGAAAGACAGAAGGCAAUAGAAGACUGGCAAAAAAAUGAAAUCUCCAGAAAUCUCCAGACUACUAUACUGACAGAUAGAAUAAAGGCAGGGGAAAGGAAGAAAAAGGAGACUAGCUACUGGUGUGAGACUUGCUGUUGCAAACAAAAGAUGGCAGUGAGCUGGAGAUGGACCAAUGGAUUACAAACUUGAAGUAUUUUCCCAAAUGGAGAUGAAUUUAAGAGCAGGCAAUGACAACAGCUGCCUGGAAAGUAGUCAAAAGGCAAUGAGAAAGACUGGAAGGAUGGAAUAGAAUGAUAGACACUAAGUGAUCGCCCAGAUCUGCAGAAUGAUGUUUUCAGGAGAAGCCUGAGGCAGCAUGUGUCAGAAAAAAUGUAUCUCUGAAAUACCUCACAGAAAUUAUUAGUCUGUUAUGCAGCGUGGCUGCAUAUGUGGCUGCACAGAUGGAAGACAAGAAAGUUGACAGAAGACCUACAAGAGGGACAACCUGACUGAAUUAACUUCUAGGCAACAAAUUGAUAUUGGCUUUUUUUUUUUUUUAAUUUAGUCUCUUGCAUUUUUAUCUUACAGUGUACAGUCUGGGAAUAUUAACAGUGAGAUAAUUGGUUAUGUAUUUUUAUCUUUCUUCCCUGUGGCAAAAAAAAAAAAAAAAAAAGUAAUCUGAAAAGAAGAAAGAGCAGAUCAGUAGCAAUGAAAUAAUUCAUCUCAUGUUGUUCUUUUUGUUCUCACAAAUUAAACAACAGAAACCACUUGUCAAUUGACUGCCUUACUACAGGAACUCAAAAA